RNAcentral lists this transfer RNA (72 nucleotides) under Minisyncoccota bacterium. RNAcentral's name for it is "tRNA-Met". It matches the Rfam family "tRNA". Rfam says of the family: Transfer RNA (tRNA) molecules are approximately 80 nucleotides in length. Their secondary structure includes four short double-helical elements and three loops (D, anti-codon, and T loops). Lineage: Bacteria; Bacillati; Minisyncoccota. The record is from RNAcentral.
GCCGGUGUAGCUCAGGGGUUAGAGCGGAGCUCUCAUAAGGCUUAGGCACAGGUUCGAUUCCUGUCACCGGCA